AUUAAUAUGACAGAAUAGUGUAAAGGUUUUAAAUUCCUUAAAUAAAAUUUAUAUUUUUAUUAAUA
This 65-nucleotide transfer RNA is filed under the name Diapriidae sp. ZJUH_2016010. Its description in RNAcentral is "tRNA-Leu". Lineage: Eukaryota; Metazoa; Arthropoda; Insecta; Hymenoptera; Diapriidae. The record is from RNAcentral.